This 450-nucleotide ribosomal RNA is filed under the name uncultured bacterium. RNAcentral's name for it is "partial 16S ribosomal RNA". It matches the Rfam family "Bacterial small subunit ribosomal RNA", at positions 354 to 796 of the family's 1533-position model. The record is from RNAcentral.
GUGGGGAAUAUUGGACAAUGGGCGAAAGCCUGAUCCAGCCAUGCCGCGUGUGUGAAGAAGGUCUUCGGAUUGUAAAGCACUUUAAGUUGGGAGGAAGGGCAGUAAGUUAAUACCUUGCUGUUUUGACGUUACCGACAGAAUAAGCACCGGCUAACUUCGUGCCAGCAGCCGCGGUAAUACGAAGGGUGCAAGCGUUGAUCGGAAUUACUGGGCGUAAAGCGCGCGUAGGUGGUUUUGUAAGUUGGAGGUGAAAUCCCCGGGCUCAACCUGGGAACUGCCUCCAAAACUGCAUGACUAGAGUACGGUAGAGGGUAGUGGAAUUUCCUGUGUAGCGGUGAAAUGCGUAGAUAUAGGAAGGAACACCAGUGGCGAAGGCGACUACCUGGACUGAUACUGACACUGAGGUGCGAAAGCGUGGGGAGCGAACAGGAUUAGAAACCCCUGUAGUCC